AAAUGCGGAAGAGAUAAGUGCUGAAAGCAUCUAAGCACGAAACUUGCCCCGAGAUGAGUUCUCCCUGACUCCUUGAGGGUCCUGAAGGAACGUUGAAGACGACGACGUUGAUAGGCCGGGUGUGUAAGCGCAGCGAUGCGUUGAGCUAACCGGUACUAAUGAACCGUGAGGCUUAACCUU
This 180-nucleotide ribosomal RNA is filed under the name Escherichia coli. RNAcentral describes it as "partial 23S ribosomal RNA". It matches the Rfam family "Bacterial large subunit ribosomal RNA", at positions 2751 to 2925 of the family's 2925-position model. Lineage: Bacteria; Pseudomonadati; Pseudomonadota; Gammaproteobacteria; Enterobacterales; Enterobacteriaceae. The record is from RNAcentral. RNAcentral also lists the same sequence under 1 other name.